GUAGUCUCGCACAGAUGCAUAUCAAUAAGCGGAGGAAAAGGCUGCAGAACUGAACGACCGCUACCUACGCUUAGGAUGUUGACGAGACUGUCGAUCUCAUCUAUACAUGGCUCUGUGCAUAUCAAUAAGCGGAGGAAAAGAAACUAACAAGGAUUCCCCUAGUAACGGCGAGUGAAGCGGGAAGAGCUCAAAUUUGAAAUCUUAAAGGGUUUCCCUUUACGAAUUGUAGUUUAAAGAAGUGUUUUCUGUUGAGGUUUUGGUAAAAGUUCUUUGGAAUAGGACAUCAUAGAGGGUGAGAAUCCCGUAUUUGACCUUUACUUUCAACUUUGUGAUACACUUUCAAAGAGUCGGAUUGUUUGGGAAUGCAGUCCAAAAUGGGUGGUAAAUUUCAUCUAAAGCUAAAUAUUGGCGAGAGACCGAUAGCGAACAAGUACCGUGAGGGAAAGAUGAAAAGAACUUUGAAAAGAGAGUUAAACAGUACGUGAAAUUGUCAAAAGGGAAGCGUUUGACACCAGUGUUGUUUUUCUGAAAAUCAAUUAAAGAACUGUUUAUGCUAAGUUGUUUAGACUUUAUCAGCUAACUGUUUAGUUUUGAGCUUUUCUUUAAUGCACCUUUUCAGUUAACAAGUCAACAUCAAUUUCUUUUGCUGUAAAAAAGCUUGAGGAAGGUGGCUUGAGAUUCGUCUUAAGUGUUUAUAGCCUCUUGCCUAUGCAGUCGGAGAGAUUGAGGUCUGCAGCGUAGAUCCUUCGGGGCUAAAUGCAUUUGUGCUAAGUUAUAGCAUUUUAUAGACAACUUGUUGACUAUGAUUUGUCUUGUAGCUUACUCGCUUAUGUUAUUUUACCUACGCUUAGGAUGUUGAUCUGUAGUGCGUGCGC
Molecule: ribosomal RNA, 875 nt
Filed under: uncultured Neocallimastigales
Lineage: Eukaryota; Fungi; Neocallimastigomycota; Neocallimastigomycetes; Neocallimastigales
Description: partial large subunit ribosomal RNA
Rfam family: Eukaryotic large subunit ribosomal RNA (bases 92-875)
Source: RNAcentral